This is a long non-coding RNA of Cucumis sativus (cucumber), 624 nucleotides long. RefSeq lists it as uncharacterized. The transcript is spliced from 2 exons. The record is from RefSeq and is a predicted model, not a curated record. NCBI's taxonomy places the organism in Eukaryota, Viridiplantae, Streptophyta, Magnoliopsida, Cucurbitales, Cucurbitaceae.
UCUGAGAAAAACUAAUCUCAUGAAACAGUAUCCUCAACUUCAUUUCAUCAAAAUUUCUUUGUUUUCCUUUCUACUUUUACCAUACACUUCUAUAGGUUUAGAUUGACAAGAAAAUCAAAAGAGAACGGUGUUUUUUUUUACUCUCUUACCUCUGUCCUUUGCAGCAUCAAUUUUCUCAGAAGAAUCUGAAAUCUCUGUCAUUUUAUAUUUUGUCUUUGUCAGAGAAGAAAUGAGCCAAUAAUAAGAAGAAAAGAUCACAUGAACCAAAGAAAACAAAGUGAUUUUGUAAGAACGAAAUGAUAUGUUUACAUAAGAUCGAGAUGAGCUCGUUGGCUUUAGAAGUCAUGGUCGAAAAGAAAGUUGGGUCAACUAGAAUCCUCGACUUGGGGACUUCGAGGUUGAGCCCAAUGAAGAGUUGGGUCCAAAGGUGGCAACUCCCCCUCUCUUGGCUAUAUGAAAGAAUGCAAGAAACAAAAGAGAAUGUAUGGGAAUGGUUAUUUUGUGUAGGGAUUUGAAUAGUUGUUUAAGGAUUUAUAUGAUUUUAAGUUUUAUUUUCCUAGUCCUUUAUUAAUGGGAAAAUAAGAACGAAAUAAAAUAGAAAAUGUAUAAAAAAAAAAAAAAAAA